This 510-nucleotide ribosomal RNA is filed under the name uncultured Arthrobacter sp. RNAcentral's name for it is "bacterial SSU rRNA". It matches the Rfam family "Bacterial small subunit ribosomal RNA", at positions 870 to 1398 of the family's 1533-position model. Lineage: Bacteria; Bacillati; Actinomycetota; Actinomycetes; Micrococcales; Micrococcaceae. The record is from RNAcentral.
CGCCUGGGGAGUGCGGUCGCAAGAUUGGAACUCAAAGGAAUUGACGGGAGCCUACACGAGUGGUGGAGCAUGUGGUUUAAUGCGAUAAUCGCGCAAAACCUUACCAAUUCUUGACAUACUGAAAAAGAUUUAUUGAUUAAAAACUUAACUAUUUUCAUACAGGUGUUGCACGGCUGUCGUCAGCUCGUGUCGUGAGAUGUUGGGUUAAGUCCCGCAACGAGCGCAACCCUUGUUUUUAGUUGCCUUAGAACUCUAAAAAGACUGCUGGUUAUAAACCGGAGGAAGGUGGGGAUGACGUCAAGUCAGCAUGCCCCUUACACCCUGGGCUACACACGUGCUACAUUGGGCGAGACAAUGAGAUGCAAAUCUGCGAAGAAUAGCUAAUCUAUAAACUCGUUCUAAGUUCGGAUUGUAGGCUGCAACUCGCCUACAUGAAGGUGGAAUCGCUAGUAAUCGCUGGUCAGUACACAGCGGUGAAUUCGUUCCCGGGCCUUGAACACACCGCCCGUC